Molecule: ribosomal RNA, 270 nt
Filed under: uncultured archaeon
Lineage: Archaea
Description: partial 16S ribosomal RNA
Rfam family: Archaeal small subunit ribosomal RNA
Source: RNAcentral
CAGCACCUCAAGUGGUCAGGAUGAUUAUUGGGCCUAAAGCAUCCGUAGCCUGCUUUGUAAGUUUUCGGUUAAAUCCAUACGCUCAACGUAUGGGCUGCCGGGAAUACUGCAAAGCUAGGGAGUGGGAGAGGUAGACGGUACUCGGUAGGAAGGGGUAAAAUCCUUUGAUCUAUUGAUGACCACCUGUGGCGAAGGCGGUCUACCAGAACACGUCCGACGGUGAGGGAUGAAAGCUGGGGGAGCAAAACGGAUUAGAUACCCGAGUAGUCC